UGUGUGUGUGUGCGUAGCGUGCUCUAGGAAACAGCAGUUCUCCAGUAGAGACAGAAACAGAAACAGCAGCAACAGGUCGGGAAGAAUGUCACGACAGCGAGCUGCCUGCCUUCCUGCUGCCUACCUCUUCUCUACCCAAUCACAUCACAUCUUCCGUCAACAGCACAUCGUCUCUCUCUCUCUCUCUCUCUAUCUCUCCUUUUCUCCCUCCCUCUCUCUCCUGCUCUCUCUCUCUUUCCCUCUCUCUCUCCCCUCUGUCUUUCGCUAUAACUCUCAUUCUCUUACACUCUCUCUCCCACUAUCUUCUCCCUCUCUCUCUCGCUCUCUCUCUGAUUUCUCUCUCUUUCCAAUUUUCUCAUCUAUCCCUCUCUCCCACUAUCUUCUCUCUCCUCUCUCUCUUCCCCACCCCUCUCUCUCUUGCCACCUGCUGCUCAGUCAUACCCCAGGCAGAAAGAGGCUCAUGUUGGUAUCGUAUCGUAUGAGAGGUCUGUGAGGAAUGAGGACUGCUCUGUCUUUUCUCCUUUCUGUUAUCAUGUGUUGCCAGUCUCCAUCACCUCCUUUUGUGAUGAGAUUACACCAUCUGGCUACUCACAACAAGCAACAGGUAGCAUGCAGGCUUCUCCCCGUCUGGGCGUGUGUUCACCAUGUGAAGCUAGCUUCCUGCUAUGAGUGUGUUCACCAGGGUCAUAUUCAUUAGUGUACACUGUAGCAAAAUGGAAAACAAAAACAAGCGUUUCUCAUUGGACAAGUCCAGGUAGUCCCCCCCCUGUUUCAGUCCGUUUUCUUCAGUUUGGUGCUAGUGAACACCACCCAUGUGUAGCCUCCACUAUAACCACUCCCCGACUGCUAUGAGUGACAGUGAAAUGCUUCUCAACUCCUUGAUCCUGUCGGAGCAGAAGGCAGCAUUUGCCUUCAUAGGGAUGUUGCUGCUGGUCCUGGGCCUGCUCAUAGUCCGGUGUUUCAGGAUCCUUCUCGACCCCUACAGUAGCAUGCCCUCCUCCAACUGGUCUGACGGGAUAGAGGGGCUGGAGAAAGGGACAUUUGAAUACGCACUGACCUAACAUAGAAGGAUACACACAUCACAUCACAUACAUAGAUUGCAGAGGCACGUAUGCACGUACACAAGCAUGCACACAGGAACGAGUAUGCAUUCAUGCACGCAGAAAACAGACGCACACACCACAGACACAUUAGAUCCCACCCAGACCCUGAAAACUGGAAUGAAUUAACUGAAGUUGAAGCUGUUUCUGUGAGCUUUUACUGAAACUGUCCAGCUCAUUGUCUUAGGUCGGCGUGUCUUUCGUCGUUCGAGGGACUACAGCGUCACGUAGGACUGACGCCACCUAUGGAAAGCCAUUGCUUUCCACAUGGGUAACAUGUGAGUUGGUAUUGAGCCUGGUUAGAGAGGCCACAGAGAACCAUGCCUGUGGCAAGAUGGAGGUCUCAGGGAAAACCACCCAUCUAGUGAUUCAUUUGGAGAAAGAUGAGAACGGACUAAUCCUGAUCCUGAUUCAGACAGGAGUAACAUGGAGGAGAGGAUCCCAUCUUUCACAUGGCUCUGCUCUACACAACACAACAAUGUACGGAUGGAAACAGGGUAAUACAAGGAUACCAUACCAGAGCUAAUCAACCAUCAAAGUGCUGUCUGCCUGUCAUCCUAAUGGAUUGCAGUGUAGUUCAUUUAGGACGGUCCUAUAGAACAAGAUUGUUAUAUAACAGUAAGACUGAUAUUGACUGACCAACAUUGUUCUCAGUUUCAAACUGAUGAUGUUAAUAAUGUUGAUGAUGAUGGCGAAGAUGAGGAGGAGAAGGAGGAUGAUGAUGAUGAUAAUGUUAAUGAUGAUGAUAACAUUGAUGAUGAUGAUGGUGAUGAUAACAUUGAUGAUGAUAAUAAUUAGGAUAACAUUGAUGAUGAUGAUAAUGUUAAUGAUGAUGCUGAUGAUGAUGAUGGUGGUGGCGAUGAUGAUGAUAAUAAUAAUGAUGAUGAUGAUAACAUUGAUGACGAUAAUGAUAAUGAUAAUGAUGGUAAUGAUGAUGACUAGUGCAUUACAUGUGUGUCAUGUUGUUUUGUAAACCUACUGACCUGGCAGAGAGAUACUAUGUCUGAACUGUGAUAUAUCUGGACAUGGUGUACGGAACUGUUUGUAAUCAAUGCAACAAUGGUCUUCAGAGUGAAUACUGUAUGUAUGUACUGUUGAUGAGAGAAGAGAAGAGAAGAGAAGAGAAGAGAAGAGAAGAGAAGAGAAGAGAAGAGAAGAGAAGAGAAGAGAAGAGAAGAGAAGAGGCUGUCAUCUCUGAGACAAAGGUUUUUAACAUUGGGAGAGUCUGUCACUGGCUGUCUGCUGAGGGAAAGGUUACUGGGAAAAUGAUGGCAGAGGAGUGUUUAUCCACACUGCACACGUCUCACCCCUCCUCACCCAUUCUCCCCUGCACAGGAGUCCCUCUCUCACCCCUCCUCCCUUGCACAAGACUACCUCUCUCACCCCUCCUCACGCUUCCUACCCCCUCCUUCCUCUCCUUUAUCUACUCACCCUUCCUCCUCCUCACCCAUACUCACUCCUCCACACCAUCCUCCUCACUCUUCCUCACUCCUCCUAACCCCUAGGAAUGGAGGAGAGAGGCCUCACCCAGACAGAAACAGAAUUUUCAUCUCAGAAUGUUCAUCUCAGUGCUGUGAAUCUGCCUUACUGUGACCUAUGGGUUUACGUGCCUUUGUUUAGAAAUAUUUGCCCGUGUGUGUGUGUCUACAUGCUUCUGUGUGUAUCUGUGUGUGCACGCACGUGUGUGUGUGUGUGAUCAUGCGUGUAUGAGUGCGUGUGUCAUGAUGACUGAUGACGGUGUAUCUACUCACCUGUUGCUCAGAGCCAGAGGAAGAGACAACUCAUUGCUGUUGGAAUAAAUCAUGUCAAAUAAAAACUACUUUAUUUAAACAAA
This 2934-nucleotide long non-coding RNA is filed under the name Salmo salar (Atlantic salmon). Its description in RNAcentral is "lncRNA (ENSSSAG00000088816.1)". The record is from RNAcentral. Lineage: Eukaryota; Metazoa; Chordata; Actinopteri; Salmoniformes; Salmonidae.